CCAGACUCCUACGGGAGGCAGCAGUGGGGGAUAUUGCACAAUGGGGGAAACCCUGAUGCAGCGACGCCGCGUGAGUGAAGAAGUAUUUCGGUAUGUAAAGCUCUAUCAGCAGGGAAGAAAAAAGACGGUACCUGACUAAGAAGCCCCGGCUAACUACGUGCCAGCAGCCGCGGUAAUACGGAGGAUGCGAGCGUUAUCCGGAUUUAUUGGGUUUAAAGGGUGCGUAGGCGGACUGGAAAGUCAGCGGUAAAAUCGAGAGGCUCAACCUCUUUCCGCCGUUGAAACUGUCGGUCUUGAGUGGGCGAGAAGUAUGCGGAAUGCGUGGUGUAGCGGUGAAAUGCAUAGAUAUCACGCAGAACUCCGAUUGCGAAGGCAGCAUACCGGCGCCCGACUGACGCUGAGGCACGAAAGCGUGGGUAUCGAACAGGAUUAGAUACCCCGGUAC
RNAcentral lists this ribosomal RNA (445 nucleotides) under uncultured bacterium. RNAcentral's name for it is "bacterial SSU rRNA". It matches the Rfam family "Bacterial small subunit ribosomal RNA", at positions 331 to 793 of the family's 1533-position model. The record is from RNAcentral.